This 450-nucleotide ribosomal RNA is filed under the name uncultured bacterium. RNAcentral's name for it is "partial 16S ribosomal RNA". It matches the Rfam family "Bacterial small subunit ribosomal RNA", at positions 338 to 795 of the family's 1533-position model. The record is from RNAcentral.
CCUACGGGUGGCUGCAGUGGGGAAUUUUGGACAAUGGGCGCAAGCCUGAUCCAGCCAUGCCGCGUGCAGGAUGAAGGCCUUCGGGUUGUAAACUGCUUUUGUACGGAACGAAAAGGUGCCUUCUAAUAAAGGGCGCUCAUGACGGUACCGUAAGAAUAAGCACCGGCUAACUACUUGCCAGCAGCCGCGGUAAUACGUAGGGUGCGAGCGUUACGCGGAGUUACUGGGCGUAGUUUGGGAACAGGCGGGUGAAAUCCCCGGGCUCAACCUGGGAACUGCCUUUGUGACUGCAAGGCUGGAGUGCGGCAGAGGGGGAUGGAAUUCCGCGUGUAGCAGUGAAAUGCGUAGAUAUGCGGAGGAACACCGAUGGCGAAGGCAAUCCCCUGGGCCUGCACUGACGCUCAUGCACGAAAGCGUGGGGAGCAAACAGGAUUAGAUACCCCUGUAGUC